RNAcentral lists this ribosomal RNA (393 nucleotides) under uncultured bacterium. RNAcentral's name for it is "bacterial SSU rRNA". It matches the Rfam family "Bacterial small subunit ribosomal RNA", at positions 142 to 518 of the family's 1533-position model. The record is from RNAcentral.
AGUAACAUCCGGAAACGGGUGCUAAUACCGCAUAGUUUUCUUGAUCGCAUGAUUGAGAAAGGAAAGACGGCCUUUGUGCUGUCGCUUAUGGAUGGACCCGCGGCGUAUUAGUUAGUUGGUGAGGUAACGGCUCACCAAGACGAUGAUACGUAGCCGACCUGAGAGGGUGAUCGGCCACAUUGGGACUGAGACACGGCCCAAACUCCUACGGGAGGCAGCAGUAGGGAAUCUUCCGCAAUGGACGAAAGUCUGACGGAGCAACGCCGCGUGAGUGAAAGAAGGUUUUCGGAUCGUAAAACUCUGUUGUCAGAGAAGAACAAGUUGGAGAGUAACUGCUCCAGCCUUGACGGUAUCUGACCAGAAAGCCACGGCUAACUACGUGCCAGCCGCCGC